UGGGCGAUUAGCUCAGCGGUAGAGCACCUGCCUUACAAGCAGGCUGUCACUGGUUCGAUUCCGGUAUCGCCCAUC
This 75-nucleotide transfer RNA is filed under the name cyanobiont of Ornithocercus magnificus. RNAcentral's name for it is "tRNA-Val". It matches the Rfam family "tRNA". From Rfam's summary of the family: Transfer RNA (tRNA) molecules are approximately 80 nucleotides in length. Their secondary structure includes four short double-helical elements and three loops (D, anti-codon, and T loops). Further hydrogen bonds mediate the characteristic L-shaped molecular structure. tRNAs have two regions of fundamental functional importance: the anti-codon, which is responsible for specific mRNA codon recognition, and the 3' end, to which the tRNAs corresponding amino acid is attached (by aminoacyl-tRNA synthetases). tRNAs cope with the degeneracy of the genetic code in two manners: having more than one tRNA (with a specific anti-codon) for a particular amino acid; and 'wobble' base-pairing, i.e. permitting non-standard base-pairing at the 3rd anti-codon position. Lineage: Bacteria; Bacillati; Cyanobacteriota; Cyanophyceae; Synechococcales. The record is from RNAcentral.